This 460-nucleotide ribosomal RNA is filed under the name uncultured bacterium. RNAcentral describes it as "partial 16S ribosomal RNA". It matches the Rfam family "Bacterial small subunit ribosomal RNA", at positions 338 to 795 of the family's 1533-position model. The record is from RNAcentral.
CCUACGGGAGGCAGCAGUGAGGAAUAUUGGUCAAUGGGCGCGAGCCUGAACCAGCCAAGUCGCGUGAGGGAUGAAGGAUCUAUGGUUUGUAAACCUCUUUUAUAAGGGAAUAAAGUGCGGGACGUGUGCCGCUUCGCAUGUACCUUAUGAAUAAGGAUCGGCUAACUCCGUGCCAGCAGCCGCGGUAAUACGGAGGAUCCGAGCGUUAUUCGGAUUUUUUGGGUUUAAAGGGUGCGUAGGUGGGAUUGUAAGUCAGCGGUGAAAGUCUGUGGCUCAACCAUAGAAUUGCCAUUGAAACUGGGGGGCUUGAGUAUGUUUGAGGCAGGCGGAAUGCGUGGUGUAGCGGUGAAAUGCAUAGAUAUCACGCAGAACCCCGAUUGCGAAGGCAGCCUGCCAAGCCAUGACUGACGCUGAUGCACGAAAGCGUGGGGAUCGAACAGGAUUAGAUACCCCUGUAGUC